Polyodon spathula (Mississippi paddlefish) is the source of this 129-nucleotide small nucleolar RNA. RefSeq annotates it as small nucleolar RNA SNORA71. Lineage: Eukaryota; Metazoa; Chordata; Actinopteri; Acipenseriformes; Polyodontidae. The transcript has a single exon. The record is from RefSeq and is a predicted model, not a curated record.
CCCUGUAUCGAAAGUGAUUCUGGUAUUCACUGUUGCCUGAUCAUUGAUACUGCAGGGAGAGCAAACUGAAAGCCUUUCCCGUGUUUGUUGGGAUCCCUUGUCCCUGUCAGACCUCGUAGCUUUCAGACA